AGCAAGAAAACUUGGAACAACAUUGCAGCUGGUGCUUGCUCGCAUGAGACAGUGCAGCUCUAGCCAAGCAAUGAGCUCUGCCAUUACCCACUGCAAGGACAGAUUACAAUCCUGCUGUAACAAUGCCCUGCAAUCCUUUAUGACUGUGCCAUGCUCAGACCAAUUAUCUUCAAAGGAAACAAUCGCAAAGAAAACCUCCUUUCAUUCAAGAUAAUGAGAAAUACAGUUUCUCUUUCAAUUCUCUGUUUGGAUAUCAAAGUUCAUAUGUUAUCAAAGUGGGUACAGUAGCUUGUAGAAUCGAUUGCGUGUUUCUGUUAGCCAUUGAAAGUGAAAUUUGAAGAUGAAGGAGAGUAAUGCAGCAAGAGAUCAAAGCAUUAUGAAUUUCUUCGAGGAAUCAUUAAAGAAUCAUGAAACAAUUGAUGAUCAAUUUGUAUUGCAAAGCUCGGAUCACCCAAGGAUGGUCCUUGUUUCAGCGCAAUUAACAAGGAAGAAUUACAGAUCGUGAAGUAGGGCAAUGAAGAUUGUUCUUGGUGCCAAAAACAAAUUAGGUUUUGUUAAUGCCAAAAUUGAAGCUCCAGAGGAAGGAUCUGAGGGGUUUGAAAGAUGGAAGGGGUGUGACUACAUGGUCGCAUCCUGGUUGUGGAACUCUAUUACAAAGGAUCUGGUUGGGGGAUUUCUCUAUGCGACGUCCUUGAAGGAGCUAUGGGAUGAAAUUUCAGAGAGGUUCGGUGGGAGUAACGGGCCAAUGAUAUAUCAGAUCAAGAGAAGGAUAUCAUUACUGAUGCAAGAUGGAUUAUCCAUUACCAGUUAUUAUACAAAAUUGAAGGAACUUUGGUAUGAACUGGAAAAUAUUAGAGUAAUUCUGUCAUGUACAUGUGGAUCUGUGAAGAUUUCAACAGAGGUGGAUAACUGUGAUAAGUUGAUGCAAUUUCUUAUGGGGCUUAAUGGUGCCUAUGAUCAGGUAAGAAGCCAAAUCCUCCUUCAUGAUCCCUUACCAAGUGUAAUCAAAGCCUAUUCUAUGGUUUUGCGGAUUGAAACUCCUAGAGAGGUUCAAUUGAAUAUUGCUAAAACUGUAGAUGCAACAGCUCUAGUUGUGAAAUCACAAGGAACUCGAAAAGAUUUUAAGAAGUAUGAUCCUAGAAAAGGUCAUUGUAAUUACUGCAAUAUGGAUGGGCAUACUAGGGCUGGUUGUUUCAAAUUGAUUGGGUAUCCGGAGUGGUUUAAAGCUAAAAACAAGAAUCAGAGUUCACAUCAACAGAACAAAAUAGUUGCACAAGUUGAAAGUAAAGUGCAAUCUGCUGACCAUUUUGUUUCUGAUUCACCUUGGGAUAAAGGUUAUUUUACUGAGAUGAGCAAAUAUGAAGAUCUUAGUAUAAGCUGGAGAGUUUACAAAUGGAAAUGCAAAGAAUGGCCAAAGGGAAGUCCAUAGCCAUGAAUGUCGCAUCAAUACCUUCAGACCAUCAGUCCAUGAUGAGUUCCACAAGUUUUGCUGGACCAGAAGACUAAAGCAGUGGUAGCCAUUGGGAAAGAGCAUGAAGGACUUUACAUUCUGGAUAAGUCUAGUUUUCUUUCAUCCACCAUUCAGUUUUAUCAUUCAAAAGUAAAACAUUUGCUUGAUUCCCUUGCUUUGAACUCUGUAAAUACCAGCUUCUCUAGUGCCAUUGACAAAGUCAAAUCUGCCCUGCAUGAUAAAUUCACUGUCAAAGAACUUGGUUUCAUGAAAUAUUUCCUUGGUUUGGGGGUAGUUCAAUCAGAAACUGGUACCUUUAUCAGCCGAAGGAAAUUUAUCUUAGAUGUUUUGAAGGACACUGGCAUGACAGCAGCUAAAGCAGUGUCUAUGCCUCUUCAUAAGGGUCUUCACUUAGCACCAGAUGAUGGAGAGUUAUUGGCAGAUCCUGAUAAGUUUUGAAGACUUAUUGGGAGACUUUUAUGUGUGAACAUCACCAGGCCUGAUAUUACUUACUCUGUGCAACAUUUGACGUUCAUGGCCGCUGCUAGGAAGCCCCAUUGGGAUGCAGCAUUACAUUUGCUUCUUUAUCUCAAAUCUUGUCCUUCCAAGGGACUUUAUUUCCUUGUGCAUUCUGAUCUUAAGCUCAGCACAUUUUGUGAUGUAGAUUGGGGUUGUGUAUUUUCUCGCAAGUCACGGGGUUUGCAUUUUUCUUGGAGAUGCUAUGAUUAGUUGGAAAACAAAGAAGCAGAACACUGUUUCUAAAAGUUCUGCUGAAGCUGAAUACCAUAGUAUGGCUACUACUGUUUGUGAAUUGUUAUGGAUUUCUUAUAUUCUUUGUGAUUUGCAGGUCAUUGUUUAGCUUCCUCUCUCCUUGAAGUGUAAUAAUUAAGCAGCUAUUCAUAUAGCUAAUAACCCUGUUUUUCAUGAAAGGACUAAGCAUUUGGA
Molecule: RNA transcript, 2395 nt
Organism: Hevea brasiliensis (rubber tree)
Lineage: Eukaryota; Viridiplantae; Streptophyta; Magnoliopsida; Malpighiales; Euphorbiaceae
Exons: 4
Source: RefSeq, a predicted model, not a curated record